UCUACGGGAGGCAGCAGUGGGGAAUCUUGCGCAAUGCGCGAAAGCGUGACGCAGCAACGCCGCGUGAGGGAAGAAGGCCUUAGGGUUGUAAACCUCUUUCAGUUGGGACGAAGGUCGGCACGUUAAUAGCGUGUCCGACUGACGGUACCUUCACAAGAAGCCCCGGCUAACUACGUGCCAGCAGCCGCGGUAAUA
Molecule: ribosomal RNA, 195 nt
Filed under: uncultured bacterium
Lineage: Bacteria
Description: partial 16S ribosomal RNA
Rfam family: Bacterial small subunit ribosomal RNA
Source: RNAcentral